GGUUAAGCGACUAAGCGUACACGGUGGAUGCCCUGGCAGUCAGAGGCGAUGAAGGACGUGCUAAUCUGCGAUAAGCGUCGGUAAGGUGAUAUGAACCGUUAUAACCGGCGAUUUCCGAAUGGGGAAACCCAGUGUGUUUCGACACACUAUCAUUAACUGAAUCCAUAGGUUAAUGAGGCGAACCGGGGGAACUGAAACAUCUAAGUACCCCGAGGAAAAGAAAUCAACCGAGAUUCCCCCAGUAGCGGCGAGCGAACGGGGAGGAGCCCAGAGCCUGAAUCAGUGUGUGUGUUAGUGGAAGCGUCUGGAAAGGCGCGCGAUACAGGGUGACAGCCCCGUACACAAAAAUGCACAUGCUGUGAGCUCGAUGAGUAGGGCGGGACACGUGGUAUCCUGUCUGAAUAUGGGGGGACCAUCCUCCAAGGCUAAAUACUCCUGACUGACCGAUAGUGAACCAGUACCGUGAGGGAAAGGCGAAAAGAACCCCGGCGAGGGGAGUGAAAAAGAACCUGAAACCGUGUACGUACAAGCAGUGGGAGCACGCUUAGGCGUGUGACUGCGUACCUUUUGUAUAAUGGGUCAGCGACUUAUAUUCUGUAGCAAGGUUAACCGAAUAGGGGAGCCGAAGGGAAACCGAGUCUUAACUGGGCGUUAAGUUGCAGGGUAUAGACCCGAAACCCGGUGAUCUAGCCAUGGGCAGGUUGAAGGUUGGGUAACACUAACUGGAGGACCGAACCGACUAAUGUUGAAAAAUUAGCGGAUGACUUGUGGCUGGGGGUGAAAGGCCAAUCAAACCGGGAGAUAGCUGGUUCUCCCCGAAAGCUAUUUAGGUAGCGCCUCGUGAAUUCAUCUCCGGGGGUAGAGCACUGUUUCGGCAAGGGGGUCAUCCCGACUUACCAACCCGAUGCAAACUGCGAAUACCGGAGAAUGUUAUCACGGGAGACACACGGCGGGUGCUAACGUCCGUCGUGAAGAGGGAAACAACCCAGACCGCCAGCUAAGGUCCCAAAGUCAUGGUUAAGUGGGAAACGAUGUGGGAAGGCCCAGACAGCCAGGAUGUUGGCUUAGAAGCAGCCAUCAUUUAAAGAAAGCGUAAUAGCUCACUGGUCGAGUCGGCCUGCGCGGAAGAUGUAACGGGGCUAAACCAUGCACCGAAGCUGCGGCAGCGACGCUUAUGCGUUGUUGGGUAGGGGAGCGUUCUGUAAGCCUGUGAAGGUGUGCUGUGAGGCAUGCUGGAGGUAUCAGAAGUGCGAAUGCUGACAUAAGUAACGAUAAAGCGGGUGAAAAGCCCGCUCGCCGGAAGACCAAGGGUUCCUGUCCAACGUUAAUCGGGGCAGGGUGAGUCGACCCCUAAGGCGAGGCCGAAAGGCGUAGUCGAUGGGAAACAGGUUAAUAUUCCUGUACUUGGUGUUACUGCGAAGGGGGGACGGAGAAGGCUAUGUUGGCCGGGCGACGGUUGUCCCGGUUUAAGCGUGUAGGCUGGUUUUCCAGGCAAAUCCGGAAAAUCAAGGCUGAGGCGUGAUGACGAGGCACUACGGUGCUGAAGCAACAAAUGCCCUGCUUCCAGGAAAAGCCUCUAAGCAUCAGGUAACAUCAAAUCGUACCCCAAACCGACACAGGUGGUCAGGUAGAGAAUACCAAGGCGCUUGAGAGAACUCGGGUGAAGGAACUAGGCAAAAUGGUGCCGUAACUUCGGGAGAAGGCACGCUGAUAUGUAGGUGAAGCGACUUGCUCGUGGAGCUGAAAUCAGUCGAAGAUACCAGCUGGCUGCAACUGUUUAUUAAAAACACAGCACUGUGCAAACACGAAAGUGGACGUAUACGGUGUGACGCCUGCCCGGUGCCGGAAGGUUAAUUGAUGGGGUCAGCGCAAGCGAAGCUCUUGAUCGAAGCCCCGGUAAACGGCGGCCGUAACUAUAACGGUCCUAAGGUAGCGAAAUUCCUUGUCGGGUAAGUUCCGACCUGCACGAAUGGCGUAAUGAUGGCCAGGCUGUCUCCACCCGAGACUCAGUGAAAUUGAACUCGCUGUGAAGAUGCAGUGUACCCGCGGCAAGACGGAAAGACCCCGUGAACCUUUACUAUAGCUUGACACUGAACAUUGAGCCUUGAUGUGUAGGAUAGGUGGGAGGCUUUGAAGUGUGGACGCCAGUCUGCAUGGAGCCGACCUUGAAAUACCACCCUUUAAUGUUUGAUGUUCUAACGUUGACCCGUAAUCCGGGUUGCGGACAGUGUCUGGUGGGUAGUUUGACUGGGGCGGUCUCCUCCUAAAGAGUAACGGAGGAGCACGAAGGUUGGCUAAUCCUGGUCGGACAUCAGGAGGUUAGUGCAAUGGCAUAAGCCAGCUUGACUGCGAGCGUGACGGCGCGAGCAGGUGCGAAAGCAGGUCAUAGUGAUCCGGUGGUUCUGAAUGGAAGGGCCAUCGCUCAACGGAUAAAAGGUACUCCGGGGAUAACAGGCUGAUACCGCCCAAGAGUUCAUAUCGACGGCGGUGUUUGGCACCUCGAUGUCGGCUCAUCACAUCCUGGGGCUGAAGUAGGUCCCAAGGGUAUGGCUGUUCGCCAUUUAAAGUGGUACGCGAGCUGGGUUUAGAACGUCGUGAGACAGUUCGGUCCCUAUCUGCCGUGGGCGCUGGAGAACUGAGGGGGGCUGCUCCUAGUACGAGAGGACCGGAGUGGACGCAUCACUGGUGUUCGGGUUGUCAUGCCAAUGGCACUGCCCGGUAGCUAAAUGCGGAAGAGAUAAGUGCUGAAAGCAUCUAAGCACGAAACUUGCC
This 2772-nucleotide ribosomal RNA is filed under the name Escherichia coli. Its description in RNAcentral is "partial 23S ribosomal RNA". It matches the Rfam family "Bacterial large subunit ribosomal RNA". Lineage: Bacteria; Pseudomonadati; Pseudomonadota; Gammaproteobacteria; Enterobacterales; Enterobacteriaceae. The record is from RNAcentral.